AAGAGGUCCAGCCUGCCCGUGACUUUGUUCAACGGCCGCGGUAUCCUAACCGUGCGAAGGUAGCGUAAUCACUUGUCCUUUAAAUAAGGACUGGUAUGAACGGCAUCACGAAGGUUACACUGUCUCCUUUUUCCAAUCAGUGAAUCUAAUCUCCCCGUGAAGAAGCGGGGAUAAGACUAUAAGACGAGAAGACCCUAUGGAGCUUUAAACUAAGUAACAAUUGCUUUUACAUCUCUUCAUUUCAGAAUACUAACAUUUAUUUUAGCUACAUGUUUACUAGUUUUAGGUUGGGGUGACCGCGGAGUAAAAAAUAACCUCCACAUUGAAUGGAAUUAAACUCCUGAGUUGUGGGCCACAACCCUAAGCACCAAUAAAUUGACAUCAAUUGACCCAAUAUUUUGAUCAACGAACCAAGUUACCCUAGGGAUAACAGCGCAAUCCGCUUAAAGAGCUCCUAUCGACAAGCGGGUUUACGACCUCGAUGUUGGAUCAGGGUAUCCCAGUGGUGCAGCCGCUACUAAAGGUUCGUUUGUUCAACGAUUAAAACCCU
Molecule: ribosomal RNA, 550 nt
Filed under: Atlantihyla sp. USNM 578672
Lineage: Eukaryota; Metazoa; Chordata; Amphibia; Anura; Hylidae
Description: partial 16S ribosomal RNA
Rfam family: Bacterial large subunit ribosomal RNA
Source: RNAcentral